Molecule: long non-coding RNA, 1126 nt
Organism: Parambassis ranga (Indian glassy fish)
Lineage: Eukaryota; Metazoa; Chordata; Actinopteri; Ambassidae
Source: Ensembl
GUGAAACGGCCAAAACAACAGCUGAGUGGUUUACUAACUUCUGCGAGAAGUUACGUUCAGGCUCGGAGUCUGGGUCGGAUUUUUUUUUUAUCAACAAAAUGAAAGCUAAAUUGCGAGUGUAAGACACGACCGAAAGUUGUUUCCUUGCUGCGGGACAAAUGGAACAAGCAGAGGAGCUGGAGCAGAUUGCCACAUGGUUCAGGCAGGAGGGACUGGCCCCUGACUCCACUAAGGAGGCUCAGCUGUGCUUGCUAUGGCGUGCCCUCCAGCACACAAGAAGCCGUCUAAGCAAUGUGACGAGGGACCUGGAAAUCCACCGCUCAAAACACUUGGCAGAGAUGGCCGAGGUACGCAAGUCGCUGGAGCAGAUUCGGAUCUUUACAGAACACAAAGAUGUUUUGGCUCAGGAGAUUCAGAAUGAGAACGAUCAGCUUCAGGUGCAGCUGCACCGCCUAGUGUCCCUCCAAGAUGCCCAGAUAAGUGAGGUGGCUAAAAUGCUGUACCAGCAGGGCCUCACAGAGUUGAUCCACAGCAGCCCCAGUGAGCAGGUGGCUUACCUCCUGGUGGAGAGGGCUUCCCUACUUGAGACGAGUGUUGAUCCUGACAACCUGACGGCAGACGGAAACACAGCCAGCCUGCUGGGGGCAGAAGCACAAAGGAUGAACACCAACACACACCAGUGUACCCACAAGGGGGCGGCAUGUCAUGGGCAGAGCGCUUGGAAAAAACUAUUUGGACUCCACAAGGCUUUACAGAGCAAACAUACGUUUAUUCCUGCUGAGGCCAGACAUUCGGCUUGCCGGUCAGGUAGUUUGGAGAAGGAGUGUUCCCGUCUGGAGCGGGACCUGGAGGAGGGCUCCCGACGGCUGGCCAUGGCCCACAAUGAGAUCCGGCGCUUGACUGAUGAGCUGGAGUCUGCUCAUCUGACCCAGAGAGCUUAUGAGCCUGAGCUGCAGUCAGCACAGCAGGAGGUGGAGCAGCUCAGACAGGAAGUAGAAAAACUGAAGAAAUAUGGUGAGAGCUUUUAUCGGGUGUAUUCAAAGCUAUUUUCAAUGAACAGCCUGAAAUCGAUGGAAGUGUAAAGGAAAGAGAAGUCUGUGUGUGGUGAGUGUGGUGAGGAAAUGAU